This is a long non-coding RNA of Ruditapes philippinarum (Manila clam), 189 nucleotides long. RefSeq lists it as uncharacterized. Lineage: Eukaryota; Metazoa; Mollusca; Bivalvia; Venerida; Veneridae. The transcript has 2 exons. The record is from RefSeq and is a predicted model, not a curated record.
UCUCAACAAAAUGUGUUUUCUUUUUCCAGGUUGUGUAGUUUGGUAUCAGAAUUAUUAGACGUAUUGCUUGUAGGACAUUGACGGCAGGAACUUGAAAUUAACUGUGGAGUGCUACCUUAAGGUUGUGUAGUUUGGUAUCAGAAUUAUUAGACGUAUUGCUUGUAGGACAUUGACGGCAGGAACUUGAAA